GUGCUCGCUUCGGCAGCACAUAUACUAAAAUUGGAACAAUAUAGAAAAGGUUAGCAUGGCCCUGAGCAAGGAUGAUAUGCAAAUUUGUGAAGCGUUCCAUAUUUUU
RNAcentral lists this small nuclear RNA (106 nucleotides) under Sorex araneus (European shrew). Lineage: Eukaryota; Metazoa; Chordata; Mammalia; Eulipotyphla; Soricidae. The record is from RNAcentral.